CAGACCGAUAGCGAACAAGUAGAGUGAUCGAAAGAUGAAAAGCACUUUGAAAAGAGAGUUAAACAGCACGUGAAAUUGUUGAAAGGGAAGCGCUUGCAACCAGACUCGCUCGCGGGGUUCAGCCGGGCUUCGGCCCGGUGUACUUCCCCGCGGGCGGGCCAGCGUCGGUUUGGGCGGCCGGUCAAAGGCCUCCGGAAUGUAGCGCCCUUCGGGGCGCCUUAUAGCCGGGGGUCCAAUCUUCCAGCCUGUUACAAGGAACGCGUUCGGCACGCC
This 273-nucleotide ribosomal RNA is filed under the name Aspergillus terreus. RNAcentral describes it as "partial large subunit ribosomal RNA". It matches the Rfam family "Eukaryotic large subunit ribosomal RNA", at positions 330 to 610 of the family's 3401-position model. The record is from RNAcentral. Lineage: Eukaryota; Fungi; Ascomycota; Eurotiomycetes; Eurotiales; Aspergillaceae.